Molecule: ribosomal RNA, 200 nt
Filed under: uncultured bacterium
Lineage: Bacteria
Description: partial 16S ribosomal RNA
Rfam family: Bacterial small subunit ribosomal RNA
Source: RNAcentral
GACAGAGGGUGCAAACGUUGUUCGGAAUCACUGGGCGUAAAGCGGGUGUAGGCGGCUUGGUAAGUCGGAUGUGAAAUCCCGAGGCUUAACCUCGGAAGUGCAUUCGAAACUACUUGGCUAGAGUCCUGGAGAGGAAGGUGGAAUGCUUGGUGUAGAGGUGAAAUUCGUAGAUAUCAAGCGGAACACCGGUGGCGAAGGCG